RNAcentral lists this ribosomal RNA (490 nucleotides) under uncultured bacterium. RNAcentral's name for it is "partial 16S ribosomal RNA". It matches the Rfam family "Bacterial small subunit ribosomal RNA", at positions 30 to 507 of the family's 1533-position model. The record is from RNAcentral.
AUUGAACGCUGGCGGCAGGCCUAACACAUGCAAGUCGAACGGUAACAGGAAACAGCUUGCUGUUUCGCUGACGAGUGGCGGACGGGUGAGUAAUGUCUGGGAAACUGCCUGAUGGAGGGGGAUAACUACUGGAAACGGUUGCUAAUACCGCAUAACGUCGCAAGACCAAAGAGGGGGACCUUCGGGCCUCUUGCCAUCGGAUGUGCCCAGAUGGGAUUAGCUAGUAGGUGGGGUAACGGCUCACCUAGGCGACGAUCCCUAGCUGGUCUGAGAGGAUGACCAGCCACACUGGAACUGAGACACGGUCCAGACUCCUACGGGAGGCAGCAGUGGGGAAUAUUGCACAAUGGGCGCAAGCCUGAUGCAGCCAUGCCGCGUGUAUGAAGAAGGCCUUCGGGUUGUAAAGUACUUUCAGCGGGGAGGAAGGGAGUAAAGUUAAUACCAUGACUCAUUGACGUUACCCGCAGAAGAAGCACCGGCUAACUCCGUG